AUCCUGGCUCAGAUUGAACGCUGGCGGCAGGCCUAACACAUGCAAGUCGAGCGGGGUUUUCGGACCUAGCGGCGGACGGGUGAGUAAUGCGUAGAAAGCUACCCGAUAGAGGGGAUACCAGUUGGAAACGACUGUUAAUACCGCAUAAUGUCUACGGACCAAAGUGUGGGACCUUCGGGCCACAUGCUAUCGGAUGCGCCUACGUGGGAUUAGCUAGUUGGUGAGGUAAUGGCUCACCAAGGCGACGAUCUCUAGCUGGUUUGAGAGGAUGAUCAGCCACACUGGAACUGAGACACGGUCCAGACUCCUACGGGAGGCAGCAGUGGGGAAUAUUGGACAAUGGGCGCAAGCCUGAUCCAGCCAUGCCGCGUGUGUGAAGAAGGCCUUCGGGUUGUAAAGCACUUUCAGCGAGGAGGAAGGGUUGUGUGUUAAUAGUACACAGCCUUGACGUUACUCGCAGAAGAAGCACCGGCUAACUCUGUG
RNAcentral lists this ribosomal RNA (483 nucleotides) under uncultured bacterium. Its description in RNAcentral is "bacterial SSU rRNA". It matches the Rfam family "Bacterial small subunit ribosomal RNA", at positions 16 to 507 of the family's 1533-position model. The record is from RNAcentral.